AGCGAACGUUUGCGGCGGGCCUAACACAUGCAAGUCGAACGGGUUGGCAACAACCAGUGGCGCACGGGUGCGUAACACGUAGGUAAUCUACCCUCAAGUUCGGGAUAACGAUCUGAAAGGAUCGCUAAUACCGGAUGUGUUCCGAAAGGAAGAAAGACCCGCAAGGGUCGCUAGAGGACGAGCCUGCGGCCCAUCAGCUAGUUGGUGAGGUAAUGGCUCACCAAGGCUAAGACGGGUAGCUGGUCUGAGAGGAUGAUCAGUCACACUGGAACUGAGACACGGUCCAGACUCCUACGGGAGGCAGCAGUGGGGAAUAUUGCGCAAUGGGCGAAAGCCUGACGCAGCCACGCCGCGUGAGCGAUGAAGGCCUCGGUC
RNAcentral lists this ribosomal RNA (375 nucleotides) under uncultured bacterium. Its description in RNAcentral is "bacterial SSU rRNA". It matches the Rfam family "Bacterial small subunit ribosomal RNA", at positions 29 to 424 of the family's 1533-position model. The record is from RNAcentral.